GGAUAACAUGCCCUUUAGGCGGAGGAUAACCUCGGGAAACUGAGAAUAAUACUCCAUAGAUCAUGGGAGCUGGAAUGCCUCAUGGUCGAAAGUUCCGGCGCCUAAGGAUUGGUCUGCGGCCUAUCAGGUUGUAGUGGGUGUAACGGACCCACUAGCCUAUGACGGGUAUGGGCCUUGAGAGAGGGAGCCCAGAGAUGGACUCUGAGACACGAGUCCAGGCCCUACGGGGCGCAGCAGUCGCGAAAACUUCACACUGGGGGCAACCCCGAUGAGGGAAUUCCUAGUGCAUGCAUUUAAUGUAUGCUUUUCUUUAGUCUAGAAAGCUAGAGGAAUAAGGGCUGGGUAAGACGGGUGCCAGCCGCCGCGGUAAUACCCGCAGCCCAAGUGGUGGUCGAUAUUAUUGAGUCUAAAACGUUCGUAGCCUGUUCAAUAAAUCUUUGGGUAAAUCGGUGAGCUCAACUUACCGACUUCCGAGGAGACUGUUGAACUUGGGACCGGGAGAGGCUAGAGGUACUUCUGGGGUAGGGGUAAAAUCCUGUAAUCCUAGAAGGACCACCGGUGGCGAAGGCGUCUAGCUAGAACGGAUCCGACGGUGAGGGACGAAGCCCUGGGUCGCAAACGGGAUUAGAUACCCCGGUAGUCCAGGGUGUAAACGCUGCAGGCUUGGUGUUGGGGACCCUUCGUGGGUGUUCAGUGCCGGAGAGAAGUUGUUAAGCCUGCUACUUGGGGAGUACGUCCGCAAGGAUGAAACU
Molecule: ribosomal RNA, 752 nt
Filed under: uncultured Methanomassiliicoccus sp.
Lineage: Archaea; Methanobacteriati; Thermoplasmatota; Thermoplasmata; Methanomassiliicoccales; Methanomassiliicoccaceae
Description: bacterial SSU rRNA
Rfam family: Archaeal small subunit ribosomal RNA
Source: RNAcentral